GCGCGCCCUGGCCGGGGCGGGCGCGGCGCUGGUGAUGCCCUCGACGCUGUCGAUCCUGACCGCGGGGUUCGCCCC
Molecule: transfer RNA, 75 nt
Filed under: Nocardia wallacei
Lineage: Bacteria; Bacillati; Actinomycetota; Actinomycetes; Mycobacteriales; Nocardiaceae
Description: tRNA-Thr
Source: RNAcentral